AGUGAACGCUGGCGGUAGGCCUAACACAUGCAAGUCGAACGGGAGCACAGUAAGAGCUUGCUCUUACGGGUGGCGAGUGGCGGACGGGUGAGGAAUAUAUCGGAAUAUACUGUUUAAUGGGGGAUAACGUAGGGAAACUUACGCUAAUACCGCAUACGACCUACGGGUGAAAGCAGGGGAUCUUCGGACCUUGCGCGAUUGAAUUAGCCGAUGUCGGAUUAGCUAGUUGGCGGGGUAAAGGCCCACCAAGGCGACGAUCCGUAGCUGGUCUGAGAGGAUGAUCCGCCACACUGGCACUGAGACACGGUCCAGACUCCUACGGGAGGCAGCAGUGGGGACUAUUGGACAAUGGGCGCGAGCCUGAUCCAGCAAUACCGCGUGGGUGCAGAAGGACUUCGGGUUGUAGAGCCCUUUUGUCGGGAAAGAAAAGAAGCAGUUUAAUCCCCCGCUGUUCUGACGGUACCCAAAGAAUAAGCACCGGCUAACUUCGUG
Molecule: ribosomal RNA, 492 nt
Filed under: uncultured bacterium
Lineage: Bacteria
Description: partial 16S ribosomal RNA
Rfam family: Bacterial small subunit ribosomal RNA
Source: RNAcentral